This 375-nucleotide ribosomal RNA is filed under the name uncultured organism. RNAcentral's name for it is "partial 16S ribosomal RNA". It matches the Rfam family "Bacterial small subunit ribosomal RNA", at positions 527 to 896 of the family's 1533-position model. The record is from RNAcentral.
GUAGGGUGCAAGCGUUAAUCGGGAAUUACUGGGGCGUAAAGCGUGCGCAGGCGGUUAUAUAAGACAGAUGUGAAAUCCCCCGGGGGCUCAACCUGGGAACUGCAUUUGUGACUGUAUAGCUAGAGUACGGCAGACGGGGGAUGGAAUUCCGCGUGUAGCAGUGAAAUGCGUAGAUAUGCGGAGGAACACCGAUGGCGAAGGCAAUCCCCUGGGCCUGUACUGACGCUCAUGCACGAAAGCGUGGGGAGCAAACAGGAUUAGAUACCCUGGUAGUCCACGCCCUAAACGAUGUCAACUGGUUGUUGGGUCUUCACUGACCCAGUAACGAAGCUAACGCGUGAAGUUGACCGCCUGGGGAGUACGGCCGCAAGGUUG